AGCGAACGCUGGCGGCAGGCCUAACACAUGCAAGUCGAACGAACCUUUCGGGGUUAGUGGCGGACGGGUGAGUAACACGUGGGAACGUGCCUUUAGGUUCGGAAUAACUCAGGGAAACUUGUGCUAAUACCGAAUGUGCCCUUCGGGGGAAAGAUUAAUCGCCUUUAGAGCGGCCCGCGUCUGAUUAGCUAGUUGGUUGAGGUAAUGGCUCACCAAGGCGACGAUCAGUAGCUGGUCUGAGAGGAUGAUCAGCCACAUUGGGACUGAGACACGGCCCAAACUCCUACGGGAGGCAGCAGUGGGGAAUCUUGCGCAAGGGGCGAAAGCCUGACGCAGCCAUGCCGCGUGAAUGAUGAAGGUCUUAGGAUUGUAAAAUUCUUUCACCGGGGACGAUAAUGACGGUACCCGGAGAAGAAGCCCCGGCUAACUUCGUG
This 434-nucleotide ribosomal RNA is filed under the name uncultured bacterium. RNAcentral describes it as "partial 16S ribosomal RNA". It matches the Rfam family "Bacterial small subunit ribosomal RNA", at positions 29 to 507 of the family's 1533-position model. The record is from RNAcentral.